This 697-nucleotide ribosomal RNA is filed under the name Lactococcus sp. RNAcentral's name for it is "bacterial SSU rRNA". It matches the Rfam family "Bacterial small subunit ribosomal RNA", at positions 137 to 823 of the family's 1533-position model. Lineage: Bacteria; Bacillati; Bacillota; Bacilli; Lactobacillales; Streptococcaceae. The record is from RNAcentral.
CGGGGGACAACAUUUGGAAACGAAUGCUAAUACCGCAUAAUAGCUUUGGACAGAAGUCUGAAGUUUGAAAGAAACAACUGUUUCACUCAAAGAUGAUCCCGCGUUGGAUUAGCUAGUUGGUGAGGUAAAGGCUCACCAAGGCGAUGAUCCAUAGCCGACCUGAGAGGGUGAUCGGCCACAUUGGGACUGAGACACGGCCCAAACUCCUACGGGAGGCAGCAGUAGGGAAUCUUCGGCAAUGGGGGCAACCCUGACCGAGCAACGCCGCGUGAGUGAAGAAGGUUUUCGGAUCGUAAAGCUCUGUUGUGAGAGAAGAACGACAAAGAGAGUGGAAAGCUCUUUGUGUGACGGUAUCUCACCAGAAAGGGACGGCUAACUACGUGCCAGCAGCCGCGGUAAUACGUAGGUCCCGAGCGUUGUCCGGAUUUAUUGGGCGUAAAGCGAGCGCAGGUGGUUUAUUAAGUCUGGUGUAAAAGGCAGUGGCUCAACCAUUGUAUGCAUUGGAAACUGGUAGACUUGAGUGCAGGAGAGGAGAGUGGAAUUCCAUGUGUAGCGGUGAAAUGCGUAGAUAUAUGGAGGAACACCGGUGGCGAAAGCGGCUCUCUGGCCUGUAACUGACACUGAGCUCGAAAGCGUGGGGAGCAAACAGGAUUAGAUACCCUGGUAGUCCACGCCGUAAACGAUGAGUGCUAGAUGU